Molecule: ribosomal RNA, 375 nt
Filed under: uncultured organism
Description: partial 16S ribosomal RNA
Rfam family: Bacterial small subunit ribosomal RNA
Source: RNAcentral
GUAGGGUCCGAGCGUUAUCCGGAAUCAUUGGGCGUAAAGAGCUCGUAGGCGGUUCAGCAAGUCGGCUGUGAAAGUUCGAGGCUCAACCUCGAAAUUGCAGUCGAUACUGCUGUGACUUGAAUUCGGUAGAGGAGAAUGGAAUUCCCGGUGUAGCGGUGAAAUGCGCAGAUAUCGGGAGGAACACCAGUAGCGAAGGCGGUUCUCUGGGCCGAUAUUGACGCUGAGGAGCGAAAGCGUGGGGGGAGCAAACAGGAUUAGAUACCCUGGUAGUCCACGCCGUAAACGUUGGAUGCUAGGUGUGGCGGUCUACCAACGACUGCCGUGCCGAAGCUAACGCGUUAAGCGUCCCCGCCUGGGAGUACGGCCGCAAGGCUA